This 235-nucleotide ribosomal RNA is filed under the name uncultured Glomus. RNAcentral describes it as "partial 18S ribosomal RNA". It matches the Rfam family "Eukaryotic small subunit ribosomal RNA", at positions 548 to 785 of the family's 1831-position model. Lineage: Eukaryota; Fungi; Glomeromycota; Glomeromycetes; Glomerales; Glomeraceae. The record is from RNAcentral.
UUGGAGGGCAAGUCUGGUGCCCGCAGCCGCGGUAAUUCCAGCUCCAAUAGCGUAUAUUAAAGUUGUUGCAGUUAAAAAGCUCGUAGUUGAAUUUCGGGGUUAGUAGGUUGGUCAUGCCUCUGGUAUGUACUGGUCUCACUGAUUCCCCCUUCCUUAUGAACCGUAAUGCCAUUAAUUUGGUGUUGCGGGGAAUUUGGACUGUUACUUUGAAAAAAUUAGAGUGUUUAAAGCAGGC